RNAcentral lists this unclassified non-coding RNA (240 nucleotides) under soil metagenome. RNAcentral's name for it is "partial contains 5.8S ribosomal RNA, internal transcribed spacer 2, and large subunit ribosomal RNA". The record is from RNAcentral.
AACCAUAGAAACCUGCGGAGUACCUGCGGAGGGAUCAUUAUAGUAUAUGGAAUCUCCAUUCUAUAAACCCACUCUGCGUAUCUUGUAACUGUUGCUUCCAUGGGACUUGGUUCCGCCACACCGGCUUCACGGCUGGUGAGCGCCCAUGGAAGGAGAAACAAAACUCUUCUUUGAAAUGUAGCCAGUCUGAACAAGUUUUUAUAAACGUUAAAACUUUCAGCAAUGGAUCUCAGAUCGGAA